GAGUUUGAUCCUGGCUCAGAACGAACGCUGGCGGCGUGCCUAACACAUGCAAGUCGAACGUGAUCCAGAGCUUGCUCUGGUGAAAGUGGCGCACGGGUGAGUAACGCGUGGAUAACCUACCCUGGUAUCCGGGAUAACAUUCCGAAAGGGGUGCUAAUACCGGAUAAGCCCACGGGCUCUUUGGAGCUUGCGGGAAAAGGUGGCCUCUAUUUAUAAGCUACUGUAUCAGGAUGGGUCCGCGUACCAUUAGCUAGUUGGCGGUGUAACGGACCACCAAGGCRACGAUGGUUAGCUGGUCUGAGAGGAUGAUCAGCACACUGGAACUGAGACACGGUCCAGACUCCUACGGGAGGCAGCAGUGGGGAAUUUUGCGCAAUGGGGGAAACCCUGACGCAGCAACGCCGCGUGAGUGAUGAAGGCCUUUGGGUCGUAAAGCUCUGUCAGGGGGGAAGAAAUGAUAUAGUGCUAAUACCACUUUAUCUUGACGGUACCCUCAAAGGAAGCACCGGCUAACUCCGUGCCAGCAGCCGCGGUAAUAC
Molecule: ribosomal RNA, 539 nt
Filed under: uncultured Geobacteraceae bacterium
Lineage: Bacteria; Pseudomonadati; Thermodesulfobacteriota; Desulfuromonadia; Geobacterales; Geobacteraceae
Description: bacterial SSU rRNA
Rfam family: Bacterial small subunit ribosomal RNA
Source: RNAcentral